UUAAUCUCAAACCUCGGGUCUUUUUAACUAGAGACCUGUCCGGUUUGGACUUGGAGGUUACUGCUGGCUCCCUUCUGUGGUCGGCUCCUCUGAAAUGCAUUAGCUGGACUUUGGUUCGCAUCUACGGUGUAAUAGUAACUUGUAUUCGCCGGGUGCUUGCCUAGGGAGUCCGCUUCUAAUCGCCCCCUCGGGCAAGGUCUCCUUUUGUGACCUUCUUGAACA
RNAcentral lists this unclassified non-coding RNA (222 nucleotides) under uncultured Hymenochaetaceae. Its description in RNAcentral is "sequence contains ITS2". The record is from RNAcentral. Lineage: Eukaryota; Fungi; Basidiomycota; Agaricomycetes; Hymenochaetales.